UGGGGAAUAUUGGACAAUGGGCGCAAGCCUGAUCCAGCCAUACCGCGUGGGUGAAGAAGGCCUUCGGGUUGUAAAGCCCUUUUGUUGGGAAAGAAAAGCAGUCGGUUAAUACCCGAUUGUUCUGACGGUACCCAAAGAAUAAGCACCGGCUAACUUCGUGCCAGCAGCCGCGGUAAUACGAAGGGUGCAAGCGUUACUCGGAAUUACUGGGCGUAAAGCGUGCGUAGGUGGUUGUUUAAGUCUGUCGUGAAAGCCCUGGGCUCAACCUGGGAAUUGCGAUGGAAACUGGGCAACUAGAGUGUGGCAGAGGAUAGUGGAAUUCCUGGUGUAGCAGUGAAAUGCGUAGAGAUCAGGAGGAACAUCCGUGGCGAAGGCGACUGUCUGGGCCAACACUGACACUGAGGCACGAAAGCGUGGGGAGCAAACAGG
This 429-nucleotide ribosomal RNA is filed under the name uncultured bacterium. RNAcentral's name for it is "bacterial SSU rRNA". It matches the Rfam family "Bacterial small subunit ribosomal RNA", at positions 355 to 776 of the family's 1533-position model. The record is from RNAcentral.